This 516-nucleotide ribosomal RNA is filed under the name uncultured bacterium. Its description in RNAcentral is "partial 16S ribosomal RNA". It matches the Rfam family "Bacterial small subunit ribosomal RNA", at positions 899 to 1397 of the family's 1533-position model. The record is from RNAcentral.
ACUCAAAUGAAUAGACGGGGACUUGCACAAGCGGUGGAUUAUGCGGUUUAAUUCGAUGACAAACGAAGAACCUUACCAAGAUUAGAAAUUCAAGUGAAGAAUAUAGAAAUAUAAACGUCCGCAAGGACACUUGAACAGGUGAUGCAUGGCCGUCGUCAGUUCGUGAUUUGAAUUGUUCCCUUAAGUGGGGUAACGAACGCAACCCUUGUUGCCUGUUAUACGUAUCAGGCGAGACUGCCCAGCUUUUUGGAUGCAAACGUAAGUUUGUGAACAGAGAGCUGGGAGGAAGCGAGGAUGACGCCAGGUCAGCAUGUCCCUCUGACAUCUUGGGCUACACGCAUAAUACAAUGGCCACUACAACGGGUCGCGACGGGGUAACCCUGAGCCAAUCCUAUAAAAGUGGCCCCAGUUCGGAUUGGGGGCUGCAACUCGACCCCAUGAAGUUGGAAUCGCUAGUAAUCGCGGGUCAGACAUACCGCGGUGAAUACGUUCUCAAGUCUUGUACACACCGCCCGU